UCGAAGACAAUGUUUCUGUUGGAACUAGC
This 29-nucleotide non-coding RNA is filed under the name Rattus norvegicus (Norway rat). The record is from RNAcentral. Lineage: Eukaryota; Metazoa; Chordata; Mammalia; Rodentia; Muridae.